UUUCAGUAAGUGAAGAUAAAAUAGCUGAAUCUCAGUUACUCAGAUUGACAGAUUAGUUGAAGUUUAAAAAUUGGGUAAAUUCAAUGAAUAUAACUGACUAAAAAGGCAGUAAAGUGGAUUUAGGUUGACUAUGGUCAAAUCUAGCCGAAUAGCGAGCAAAACAAGUUUAAUUGCUAACUAUCGACUAAGCAAAACUAAUUUUACCACUAGAAUUGAAAUUUAAUGUGGACCGACUUUUUCAAUCGAUUUUUUCAUAAGAUUUUCCAUCACCCAAAUCCACCAAAUCGUUCACCGCUUUUCGGAUAUGAUAGAUAUAAAGGUGAUGAAUAGUGAAUGGUUUAGAUUUGGUUGAUGGACAAUAUGGGAAAAAGUGAUGGAAAAAAGCCGGUCUCGUUAAUUUACUUUCCAAAAAUAAAUCGAAUAAAAUUAAUGUGAAAUUAUUUUUAUGUAAUGGUUACAUCAAGGUAAAAUUGUUUUUCUUUGACGUCGGUAAAUCUCAAACCAGAAUUGAAACUCGUCCAUCGGGUUCAAAGGAAGAUAAAAUAAACAUUAAUUAGUACUAAAUGGUGAUGUUAAAACUGACAAAAAUAAGGUGGGAUUACAUUUUUCAUCCAAGACAAAAUAAACCGAAGGAAUUGACUCUCUAUUGUCUCUUGAGCUGUUUCUUUUUACGGGUAAACUGUGAUUCAUAUUGUCAGUGAAAGCAACUAUCCAAUCACAUUCAUCUUACGGUGUAAAGUUUAAAGUAGAGACAAAAAUCGUCUGAUUCCAUUAUUUCUUUGUGAGUCAAAUCAUUUCAAACCAUCACCAUUUUAAGCUUAAUUGUUGUUUAAAAAAGCCAGUUAUUAUGUUUUAUGUAAUCGGUUAGUGAACUGUUCUGGUAUUCUGGUAUUCUGGUUCAUCUCUUUUUGGACAAAGAACAUUCCAACAAUUGGUCAUGAUGUUCAAACUAGAUGAAGUUAUUUCAACUCUAAACUCUAGUUUACAUGUGAUUUAUAGAGUAAUGGUUGGAUCUGUGGCUGUUUUAAGUGAUUUUAGAAAUGGUAAAAAAAUCAUCAAAUCAACGGUUCCUUCAUCAAAAAUUUGCUCAACAUUAACUCAAUCAACCACAGACACUAAGGAACAGAUAAUGGUUUGUGAUUCAACAUCAUUCGAGGAACUUGAUUAUUUGGCUUCUGACCAGUCAAGGAAUUUAACACAUGACGAGAAAGGGCGACUUGUUAAGAUGAUCAGUGAUGGUUUAGCUUGUUGGUAUUUCCUCGUUCAUCUAUUUCACAUUAUCAAAAAAGCCUUCUUUGUAAAAGUUCAUAUGGUAAAGCCAGAUAAAAUUUCUUUGAACCAGAGAAGGAUCAAGAAUAUAUCUUUGAAGUUACACGAAACAAUGUUCAAACAAUCUUGAAGUCCAAAGAGCUUAAUAUUUAUCAUUAUGAUAAAAUCUAACCCAAAACUGUUUUUUAGUAAUUUUAUCACUGUUUUGUAUUUUGAAUAACAAAAUAUUUUUCACCCUAAA
This is a non-coding RNA of Tetranychus urticae (two-spotted spider mite), 1510 nucleotides long. Lineage: Eukaryota; Metazoa; Arthropoda; Arachnida; Trombidiformes; Tetranychidae. The record is from RefSeq and is a predicted model, not a curated record.